AGCCGGGGAGCUAGCGGCACCCUGUAUCUGCAAUCCGCUAUAGCAGAGGUGAUAUCCACCCCCGGUCCGCGUUGGUGGAGCCUGCCCGUACGAGGGGGUGUUGAGGGCCAGGUCUUGCGCGUUAUUGUCCUGUGAACCGUGUCAGGUCUGAGAGGAAGCAGCACUAAGCAGAUCACAGUAAGUGCCGUAAGGGUGCCUGGUCUGAGCUCGCAACUAUGGUAACGUCUGUUGGCAAGGAUCAAAGGUGGAUGCGC
Molecule: signal recognition particle RNA, 254 nt
Filed under: bovine gut metagenome
Description: Bacterial large signal recognition particle RNA
Rfam family: Bacterial large signal recognition particle RNA
About the family: The signal recognition particle (SRP) is a universally conserved ribonucleoprotein involved in the co-translational targeting of proteins to membranes. Archaeal SRP consists of a 7S RNA and homologues of the eukaryotic SRP19 and SRP54 proteins.
Source: RNAcentral